AUGCCAGAAGGACACCGUCUGAUCAAUUGCUUGUAUCUUUCCCAAGUUUCAUAGAGGGAUUCAUCUUCCUUCUGUUUGAAGGUUUGAACUUCCACUCUAAGCUU
Arachis duranensis is the source of this 104-nucleotide small nucleolar RNA. NCBI's taxonomy places the organism in Eukaryota, Viridiplantae, Streptophyta, Magnoliopsida, Fabales, Fabaceae. The record is from RefSeq and is a predicted model, not a curated record.